This 114-nucleotide small RNA is filed under the name Opisthorchis viverrini. RNAcentral describes it as "Potassium channel RNA editing signal". The record is from RNAcentral. Lineage: Eukaryota; Metazoa; Platyhelminthes; Trematoda; Opisthorchiida; Opisthorchiidae.
GUGCGACACAAUGACAGGGACGGGUAAGGCAAUCACAAGCACGCCAGACAGUGAGCAGAUGCCGCCAAAUAUUUUUCCAAUAAUUGUGAUUGGAACGAUGUCACCGUAGCUGAA